CAGUACUGAUCCAACAGUAUUAUUCUAUAAGUACUAAUUUACAGUACUGAUCCAACAGUAUUAUUCUAUAAGUACUAAUCUACAGUACCAAUCACAAGACCUUCCGCCACACCAACAGUUUCUUCCCGUCGGCAGUCGGGCUCAUCAACAGAGCCGGUCCCCCUCUGACUGACUAUAACAUUCCACCGGUCACUCCCUUCACACUGCACAUGUCACUUUAACUGUCAUUUAUCACUUUGUCGUCACUCGUCACUUUGUCACUUGUUCGCUAGUGCACUUUAUGCUUAAUAUUUUUUUAACUUUUUUAAUAUUUUAAAUUUUUAACUCUAAUUUUAUUAUCUUGUUUUACACUAACCCAUAGCCUUAUUCUACUAACGCAUUGCAUUAGCAUUUCAUUUUACUUUAUUUUAUUACUUGUGCGCUGUUGUCUAUUGUUACACUGUCUACUGUCACGCACCAACCGCCAAGACAAAUUCCUUGUAUGUUUGACAUAUUUUGGCAAUAAAUGUUUCCUGAUUCCUGAAAUAUAAUAUAAUAUAUACAAAAUAAGGGUCUGUUCAGGGGUGCGAUAUAUCAAAUUGCUGGCGAGGGCAGGACAAUUCCUUUGGAAGUCAUGCGGGUCAUAUUAACCCACACACCUUAGAAGUGGCCAUUGCUGGCUGCACACACAGCACUCGCACACACAUAGAUAUGCACACAUAGACGCACACGGUGUGGCUUAGGGUUUUUAAAGGAACCUCCUCAGGAUGGAAGGGUUAGUUGCUUUGUUUCGUGUGGCCCGUGGUGGGCAGAGGGAGAAAUCCAUUUAGAGAACAAAGAAAUGGUGACUUUAAAAAAAAAAUGAUUUGUCCAAGAGUUUCCUGUGAAUAUAAUGUUGUUUCCACUUGUUUGCACUUUGGGAGAAGCACAAUAAAUUUGCACCACCUCUGCCUGCGACAACGCAGUUACUGUUCAGUAAGUACUGUAGACUGAGGUUUGUGUACCUUUUGUUUUCUCGUUUUUCGUACGGAAGUGGGCGCCCGUUUUAGCGAUUUUCGUUUAGAACCAAAAACGAGACAGAAACUUUUUACUGCAUUAAUCCCUUUUUGGGUUUUGCCUACAAAACCAAAAUACGCUAAACCGCCAGUACGUAGAUUUUCACAGUAAGAGUCAACGCAAUGGAACGUUUGUAUGCUAGAAAUCCCUCUGUGAUGAAUGCGGUUACCAUGGUAACAUUAGAAGAAAAGUUAAUUAAUCAAUAUAAAUAAUGAAUCCUGGUCCGAUGGAAUGUGUGUUAGUAGUAGCACAACAGUAGCCCACCUGUUACUCUUAGCUCUGAUAUUUAUUUUCCACGUAUUGUGUUGCUUCAGUGACAGUGAGGCAGUACAAGGAGAUGCAGAGUAAACUUGUGCACAUCUUUCACGGUCACAGUUUUCAACAGUUUUAAAACUUAAAACCCUCCUCCCAAAACAGGCUUCAGCAGUUAACUAGUGUUAUUUGGCAGGAAAUACAUGUUCUGUAACAGUGUCAUGCUGGUGUGUGCAACAUGCUAACAACAUGCUAAAGAGCAGGUAGUCUUUGCAAUGCUUCCUAACCCAAUGUGCACAGCUCCAGAGAUCACUCUGAGGGUCACAUGGAAGGUAUAGCAAUCAAGAAAAGAGAAUGAAUUUCUUUAUUGUUCUUGUCUAGUGAGAAAAAUGAAAAAUAUAAAAUAUUCUAUGGUCAAAAUGUAUGAAUUCCAUAAAGCCAUUUCCCUCACACCACAGCAUUUGACCAACAUUAUUUCUUAUUAUCUGGGCCCUUUGACCUCUUGGGUCUAACCGUUCGAUUUAGGAUGAAAGAACCAGAAAACAAACGUCUCUAUUCAUAAACUGUCAUUAUUUAUUGCUUAAUAAACACAUGUAUCCUCUUCCAUGAAAUAAAUAUAACAAGAUGUAUAAAAUCUCACAACUCUUUCUUGUAUCUGUUUCUACCAGGCUGAAAUCUCUGGAUUUUUGCCAGAAUGAAAGGUCGCUACCAGUUGUCUUGUAUGGCAGUAUAGUUCUAAUUAUUCUAAUUUAAUGUAAUUUGACCCUUUUAACACUGUGCUUUCUACAAAUUCUUUUCUGGAUAUGAACAUAUUUUUUAUCACCAAACGAUAUGAUCUUGACUGCCUUGAUUUUAUACAUAUUCGACACGAAGAAAAUAUUCAACCUGAUUCUGGGGCGUCAUUCAUACCGAACCGGAACCGGUCUGAGAUGGCAACCGGAUCACGUCAAACUCAUUUCUUUUGUACCGCCGGGUUCAGGCCCAGUUUUUCUUAGAUUAUGGCCCAGUGACGGCAAUGUAUGACGGAAUCGGGGCGGUGUAUUCGGCCUGAUUCUGGGGUGUCAUUCAUCCCGAGCCUGGACUCGGCCCGACGUGUUUCUUCCGGCGUGCCAAGCUCAAGCCAGAACUGGGCCAGGAACCUCAGCGUGACGUCGACAGCCGACUCUCCCUGACUCCAACAUCACUGACAACACCAUCCUGUAGAUACACGCUCUACAACAUCAGGAGAACACGUCCUCUUCUCACUCAGAAGGAGGUACUGAUUCAGACUCUUGUCGUCUCCCUCCUGGACUACUGUAACUGUCUCCUGCAGGUCUCCUGCUACCACCAUUCCACCUCUGCAGCUCAUCCAGAAUGCAGCAGCUCCACUGGUCUUUAACCUUCCUAAGUUCUCCCUCACUCCUCCACUCCUCCGCUCUCUUCACUGGUACCGGUGGCUCAUCCAGUUCUAACCAUGGUGCUCACGUACCAUGCUGUGAAUGGAUGGGGUCCAGCUUACAUCCAGGACCUGGUCCAACCCGACAUCCCGACCCGCACUCUCCGCUCUGCAUGUGAUAAACUGCUUGUUCCUCCUCACUGAGAGCAAAACACUCGACUCUUGUUUCUUGUUCUUUCGAGUUUGUAUCCUUAUGGUUGAAAUGCACUUAUUACACCAGUAUACAGCCAUAAUUCUGAAACUAUGUAAUCAAUAAAGAAAUUAGAAUAGUGUAAUAUCACUGUAAUUGUGAAACUGUAAUUGAUAGAAUAAUAAGAAUGCACAGCUAUGGUUGUAACCAACCUGAAAUGCAUGAAAUACUUUGUUUGUUUGACUUUCAUUUCCAAUCCAAGAUGUCUUGUAUGUCUGUUCGUUCGGAGUUUCUUCAUUUUUGAACAGAACAAUAACACUGUGGGUUCACGCCUUCUCUUAACCGGUUGCUGUCCGCUCGGUGUGCUUGUGUGGACGCCUCCACUUUCGGGGGCGUCAGAGGACUGAGGCACCACGAUCGACUAAAAUAUCAAAUCGAAUGCUAGCCUCCUCCAGUCCAGGCACUUCCAGCCACCUUCCGUCCAUACUCCAGGCACCAUCUGCUUGCAGCAACUUCUCGUCUUC
This is a long non-coding RNA of Gasterosteus aculeatus aculeatus (three-spined stickleback), 3376 nucleotides long. The record is from Ensembl. Lineage: Eukaryota; Metazoa; Chordata; Actinopteri; Perciformes; Gasterosteidae.